This 459-nucleotide ribosomal RNA is filed under the name uncultured bacterium. Its description in RNAcentral is "partial 16S ribosomal RNA". It matches the Rfam family "Bacterial small subunit ribosomal RNA", at positions 28 to 523 of the family's 1533-position model. The record is from RNAcentral.
GAUGAACGCUGGCGGCGUGCCUUAGGCAUGCAAGUCGAACGGGAAGUCUUCGGACUUCUAGUGGCGGAAGGGUGAGUAACGCGUGGGAACGUACCUAUUGGUGGAGAAUAGCUCGCCGAAAGGCGGGAUAAUUCUGCAUAAGACCGCAAGGUGAAAGGGCUUAACCGCCCGCCGAUAGAGCGGCCUGCGUCCUAUCAGCUAGUUGGUGGGGUAAAGGCCUACCGAGGCGACGAUCCAUAGCUGGCCUGAGAGGAUGAUCAGCCACACUGGGACUGAGACACGGCCCAGACUCCUACGGGAGGCAGCAGUGGGGAAUAUUGGACAAUGGGCGCAAGCCUGAUCCAGCCAUGCCGCGUGAGUGAUGAAGGCCCUAGGGUUGUAAAGCUCUUUCACCGGUGAAGAUAAUGACGGUAACCGGAGAAGAAGCCCCGGCUAACUUCGUGCCAGCAGCCGCAGUAA